This 465-nucleotide ribosomal RNA is filed under the name Brachymonas sp. canine oral taxon 015. RNAcentral's name for it is "bacterial SSU rRNA". It matches the Rfam family "Bacterial small subunit ribosomal RNA", at positions 9 to 468 of the family's 1533-position model. Lineage: Bacteria; Pseudomonadati; Pseudomonadota; Betaproteobacteria; Burkholderiales; Comamonadaceae. The record is from RNAcentral.
GAGUUUGAUCCUGGCUCAGAUUGAACGCUGGCGGCAUGCUUUACACAUGCAAGUCGAACGGCAGCACAAGGAGCUUGCUCCUGGGUGGCGAGUGGCGAACGGGUGAGUAAUGUAUCGGAACGUGCCUGGUAGUGGGGGAUAACCACUCGAAAGAGUGGCUAAUACCGCAUGAGAUCUCUGGAUGAAAGCGGGGGACCUUUUGGCCUCGCGCUACUGGAGCGGCCGAUAUCAGAUUAGGUAGUUGGUGGGGUAAAGGCCUACCAAGCCUGCGAUCUGUAGCUGGUCUGAGAGGACGACCAGCCACACUGGGACUGAGACACGGCCCAGACUCCUACGGGAGGCAGCAGUGGGGAAUUUUGGACAAUGGGCGCAAGCCUGAUCCAGCAAUGCCGCGUGCAGGACGAAGGCCCUCGGGUUGUAAACUGCUUUUGUACAGAACGAAAACUCUCUGGUUAAUACCUGGGG